GCGUUGCGGGAGCUGCUGAUCCGCCAAGCAGAUGCAAGCGAACAGCCUGAGGCAGGAGAAAGAGAACGGCGGCCGCGGCGGCCGCGGCGGCAGUGGCGGCGGGCGGCUGGGGCCCCGAGGCGGGCAACCCAGCCUUCGAACAGCUGGGCCGCGGUGCCGCCCCCUACCCCGGGGUGCAGGUGGGCCUGCCGGGCAAACCCCCCUCAAGAUGGGGGGCAGCGGUUGAGGGGUGAAGUGGCGGGGAUGGCCUCCUCGCCCCCCUGACUCCUCUCCCCCGACCACAGGACAAGGGCAGCCUCGGGCCACUGGCCCCCGGCAGAGCUGGGCAGCCUCGGCGUGGGGGCUCCGGGCUUCGGUCCCGACGAGCGCCUGGGCCGCCCGGCCCCCCCAGCCACACCCUCCGCCCUGGAUAUGAACAGCAGGCAACUGGUCGGUGGCUCCCAAAGCUUCUAUUCGCGGGCAACCUACCCGGGCUCCAUGGCCCAGCAGCAGCAACGGCAACAGCAGCUUUGGCAGCAGCAGCAGCACAGCAGCAGCAGCAGCAACAGUCCACGGCCUCCAUGCGUCUCACCAUGCCCAGUCGCUUCGCCCAGCCGCCUGGCCCCGAGCUGGGCCGCCCAACUCAGGGCGACCCCUUGGCGGGAAUCCCGGCCCGCCCACCCGGCUGCGGGGACCCGGCGCCCGGUCCGCCCGGCCCCGCCCAGUUCAUCGAGCUGCGGCACAAUGUGCAGAAGGGGCCGGGGCCGGGGGGCGCCCCCUACGCACUGCAGGGCCCCAUGCCGCGGGCCCGCUUCUUCCCGGGGGGCGAGGAGCCGCCUCGCCCGCCUCCCGACGGCCUGCGGACCCUGGCGCUGCCCGGCCCGUUGCCCCCGAGGCCCCCGGCACCUCCCGCCCCGCCCACGGCCGAGCCUGCCCCCAGCCUGCGCCCGCCGGCCCCCACUCCGCCCGCGGGCCCGGACCCCGGUCGCCCCCCAUUGGGGUUGGAGGCCGGGCGACUGCCCUGCGAGGAGCCUGAGCUAGAGGAUGACUUUGAUGCCCAUAAGGCCCUGGAGGACGACGAGGAGCUGGCCCAGCUGGGCCUGGGCGUGGAUGUGCCAAGGGGACGAUGACCUGGGGACCCUGGGGACCCUGGGGAACCUGGAGACCAACGACCCACACCUGGAUGACCUGCUGAAUGGCGACGAGUUCGAUCUGCUGGCCUACACCGACCCCGAGCUGGACACGGGUGACAAGAAGGACAUCUUCAACGAGCACUUGCGGCUAGUGGAGUCGGCCAAUGAGAAGGCGGAACGUGAGGCCUUGCUGCGGGGGGCCCCCCACCCGCCGCCCCCCGAGAGCGGCCCCCGAGUCCCGCCGCCCGGCCCCACCCCGCCGCCCUCUCAGUGCAACCCAAGCUUGAGGAGGGCGGGCCCCAGGCCUCCCCGUGCCAGUUCACCGCCAUGGCCGCCCCUAGACCCGAGCCCCCCCCACCCGACCCCGGCCCCUCCCCGCUGGCCCUGGGGCUGAAGCCCAGCCAGAGCCUCUUGGGGGCCCGGACAACCAGCUGGGCACGGGCACUUUGCUAACCACGGGCCCCGCCGCCGCCUCCCCCCGGCCCGGCUGCCCUCCCUCGAGCCCCUGGGCACCCCGCUGGGGGGCCCGUCCCUGCUGGAGAAGUUCGAGCUGGAGAGCGGGGCCCUGGGGCUCCCGGGCGUGCCCCCAGAGACGGGGGACGAGUUGGACAAGAUGGACAGCUCUCUGGUGGCCAGUGAGCUCCCCCUCCUCAUCGAGGACCUGUUGGAACAUGAGAAGAAGGAGCUGACAGAAGAACAGCAGCUCUCGGCCCAGCUGCAGCCCCAGCCCCUGCUGCUGGCGGCCCCCGGCACUGCCCAGUCCCUGCCUCUGCCGCCGGAGGGCCGGCCCCGGCCUGGCCGGCCCCCGCAGCAGCUCCCGCUCGGCCUGGGCGGCCCGGCAGCCCCGGGCUGGCAGCCCGAUGAUCGGCUGGCCACCCUCCCCCGAUCCCCCUGCAGCAGCCCUGGCCCCCCCAUGGCUUCUGGGGCCCCCUGCCCAUGGCGCAUCUGCUGGGCGGGCAGCACGGGGGCCCGGCGGGCCUGGCACCCCAGCAGAGCGCACAGCCCGGCGUUGGCCCAAAGCCCUUAGGCUCGGUGGCCCCCCUCGAUGGGCAUGA
RNAcentral lists this long non-coding RNA (2167 nucleotides) under Ornithorhynchus anatinus (platypus). Its description in RNAcentral is "lncRNA (ENSOANG00000036133.1)". The record is from RNAcentral. Lineage: Eukaryota; Metazoa; Chordata; Mammalia; Monotremata; Ornithorhynchidae.